UGUUUAUAUACUCCUACAACUGAAAGAAAUUUAAACUAUUCUUCUUAUAAAAAUUAAUCUAAUUUUCAUCUCUUCAAUAGUUAUUAGUUGUUUUAGUUGUACUAGUUGUACUAUUUUUUUUUAAAAUGUAUCUUCAUUUUUUUUUGUUUUCGAAACUAAAGAAGGCAGCUACGGUGCCAAAAGGUUGCAGUAGAAGAGGAUUCAAAGAAAGAAUUUUGCAAAAAAAAAAAUGAUAAAGAAGCCAUCACGAAGGUGAAGAGAAUGCACAAGUAUUCAUGGUUGGAUUUUGACUUGUGUUUGAACCACUUACUCUUUAUUCUUUUUUUGUUUCGAAUUUGUUGUAGUUUAAAGACGUAGUGUAUUUUUUUCUACAAUAGUAUUAGUCUCACUGGUACAAUAGUAUGACUAGUUUAACUACGUGUUACUAUCAGUACCGGCUCUAUGGGUGUGCAAAGAUUGCACAUGGACAGGGUCCUAUAUUUUUGGUCAAAAUUCUUUUACUUUUUAGGGCCCUAAAUUUUUAAUCUUUACAUUUUGGUCAACAUUUAUUUAUUCUCUAGGGCCUUAAAUUUUUAGUCUUUACAUUUUUUGUCAACAUUUCUUUAUUUUUAGGGCCCUAAAUUUUUAAUUUUUACAUGGAUUUAACUUUCAAAUUCAUGUUCACUAAUUUAGAAAAAUACAAUUACCAACAAAUUUUUGAGUAGGCCCUGGUUACUAUGUUGCCUUAGCUGUGCCAUAUAAGAAAUACAAUUACCUAAUUUGUACCAUUUCUUUAUGUUUACCUACUUGCAAAAUUACUUUGAUUCUAUGUUUUCAAAAAUAAUGUGGACAACCAAGUAAACAAACCUAAUGUAUAAGGUAUUAUCAUAUAAACAUAGUUGUACCAGUUUUUGAGUUGUACCGGUUUAUACGUAGUUGUACAUUGGCAGUGAAACCAAAAUAAACUAAUUGUUCCACACAAAAUUUAAACUUACCUCAGUUGUACCACUUCUUUAUGUGUACAUGCUUGCCCGGUUACAAUGAAAUCAACAAUUUUGUAAAAAUAUAUUCCAUGCUUGUUUUCCAAAAAUUAUGUAGACAAACAAGCUAACAAACCAUAAAAGUAUAACGUAGAUCAUGUAAACUUAUGGAAUUAUGUAAUAAUUUUCAAUUUUUAUUCCAAAACUACAAAAAAAUAAAGAGAAACUUUUUGAGUACAUACUAAUUGGAUAUUUGAUUGUUCUUCCUCAUAUGGAAUAUCAAAUUGGUUUUUAUCAAUUUCUGAAAUGUCAAAGUUGUACAAAUUGUACCAGUAAUACUCGUCUAACAUAUAAUAAAAAUAUCAAUCGUUUAUAUGUAUAGUUUAAGAUUUUACCAAUAUUUUCACAUCAUAACUUUGUAAAAAUAUGUUUGAUGUUUUUUUAUCAUAAUAAUAUAGAUAAUAUUAUUAACAAACCUUAAAGUGUAAAGUCUAUAAUGUAAAAUUAAGAGUGUAAUGUAGUAAUUUAACAAAAAUAUGAAAAAUCUCAAAUAAAUAGAUGAAAUCUAUAAUUCAUGUAUGUGUUCAAUUGCAUUAAUAGGGUUGUAGUGCACAAUCGAUAAGUUUGGGGAGAAAUUUAUUUAAUUUGGAUGUUUGGGGGCGUAAAUGAAAACAGCCAAAAGAUAAUGGACCAUUCAUGCAAUUGUGAAGAAGGACUGAAAUAUACAAUUGAUAUUUUUGGGGUAGAUUCAUGGAAAAAUAAUUACGAUUUAAUAGUUUGUUGCAAAAACAAGAAAAACAAAGAAACUGAAGGAUCUAAACAUAAAUAUGAACAAGUUGGCCGUUAGAGAAGCUCGAGAUCGCGGUUGACGUCGCAAAUCGAACACGACCACAUCGUGAUGGUUCUGAGAAGAAACUAUCUCUAUUGCUAUGGUGGAAGAAGACGAUUGCAGUGACAAACGGUGAGCUUGAUUGCCAUUUGAGACCACGAGGAAGAAGAUCUGCGACGGUUUAGAUUGGUGGUCAAAAUUGUUUGAAGACGCAGUAGAAACAUGGUCUUGGUGUAGAUAAGACAGAGGAUUUUGGUUGAAAGAAGCUUGACGGAAACUUGAAUCAUGGUGGAGAUGGAGAGAACACGAUGGAGGUAACCUACGCCGGCGGAGAUUUUUGUUUUUUGUUUUUUGUUUUUUGUUUUUAAUUAAUUCAUUAAUGGUGUUAUGGUAAUUCAUACGAUAGAGGUCCAUACAGAUUAAUUUAGUUUGUAGGAGAUUUUUUUAAGCUUUUUGAUCUAUUUCCGAAUUUUGUCCAAGAAUCAUCAGCAAAAAAGAGAUGAUAUACUGAUGGCCCUUGCUCAGAAAAUUGGAUACCAUUUAUUUCUUCUCUACGCUCCGCCUCAUUGAGCUGAUGUAAUAGCCCUUCAGUACGUAAAUCAAAAAGAAUAGGAGACAAAGGAUCACCCUGUCUCAACCCUCUACCCGGUCUUAUCAUCCCUUGAGCUUCUCUGUUAAUCAAGACAGUGUGUGUGACAGAUCGCACACAGAACAUAAUCCAUUCUCGAAAGGUCCCAGUGACUAAACAUGAACUCGAGAAGGCUACUUGGACAUUUCUGCAUACUCUUGAUGCGCAGUUGAAUACUUGACUGUUUUUUCUUUGCCCAAAAGUGACUCUUAACCAUCCAUUUGGUACAUUAGGUAUGAAUAGACUUAGAGGGAUAUUUUUUUAGUAUUGGUUGGAACUUAAAGAUAGUUGAGAGAACUCUUAGCUUUGACUUUUUGAUUCUUGCUUACGGUUGUUCUAUGCUCUUUGAUUUACUGAGUCAAACAAACAGAGUGUGCUUCAGUU
Long non-coding RNA from Brassica napus (rape), 2800 nucleotides. RefSeq lists it as uncharacterized. NCBI's taxonomy places the organism in Eukaryota, Viridiplantae, Streptophyta, Magnoliopsida, Brassicales, Brassicaceae. The transcript has 2 exons. The record is from RefSeq and is a predicted model, not a curated record.